AUUUAAAGAUGAAAAUAGAUUUUCAGUCGGAUUUAAUGGUGUAAACAGAUUUUCAGUCGAAGAGAUAAAAUAUCUUAAAAACUGAAAACCCCAAAAGAUUUUCGUCGGCAUAUUUUUUGUCCCUCUUUACAUUCAUGCAUGAAAUAAAAAAAGUGAUAAAAGACUGACGUGGCGUCUUUCAGCCCACACGUUCAGCACUUAUCACGUCCAAAAAAAAAGAUAAAAAAGGAGAGCUCCCCGGCUUCAUUCAGAAAGAAGCCUGAAAAACAUAACCACAAGCACCUACAAAGAUUCAAAGUCCUCCUAGGACAAAAGGGAAGGGAACCGACUACCUAAAGGCAGAGAAUCCAUCUAAGUUGCUCCGGCCCAGAGCACCAUUAUUACAAAAAUCUCAUACAUGGAUAAGGAAACACGUCAACAAAGCAGUAAUUAGGCGGCACCAGGUGAGUUCACACACAUCACGUCCAGGGUAGACACUGGGCUUUCCAUCGAUCCAGCGACCUGCUGAGAUUAUCACUAAAGAAACGCCAGCGCCAGCUGCUAUUCAGCCGGUCACCAUACUGAGUGAGAGAUACAUGAGGGGGGACGCCUCCUUGACAAACCGUUUCAGUUUGUGAGCGAGUUGGAAUCAUAUCACGCAUAUCCCAUUCACUAAUAUGUAUACACAGCUCUAGUUUUUCAUAUCGAGCAGAAGGGUACAAAGGAAAAAGAGCUCCAGGUCGGGGAAAUUGUGGUGGUGGUGGUGUGGUGUGGAGUGGGGGUGGGGGGUAAGAACAAACAGGAUCAGAUUUCUGUCAUGCGUAAGCACCAUCAGCCAUGCAUCGUGGCGGUCUUCUUGAAGUCGAUCUUGUCAACCUUCACCUCGCCGUCAAUGAGCUCGUACACGUAGACAACAACACGGAGGCCAUCGAUGUCCAUGAGCACAAAGCUCGGGUUGACGUCAUAUGUGAUGCUGCUGUGGGCGCCCGUGCCUGAGCCAGGGUUGAUGACGACACCCCCCUCGUGCUUGUAGGCCUUGAACUGAUGGGUGUGCCCGGUGACGAGGAUGUCCACAUCCAGCUGCCUCUGGAGCAUCGCUAGGGAGUCCAGGUCGCCCCAUGGAACAACCUGA
RNAcentral lists this long non-coding RNA (1111 nucleotides) under Triticum aestivum (bread wheat). RNAcentral's name for it is "long non-coding RNA (TAES_LNC010283)". Lineage: Eukaryota; Viridiplantae; Streptophyta; Magnoliopsida; Poales; Poaceae. The record is from RNAcentral.